CUUCCUACGGGAGGCAGCAGUAGGGAAUAUUGCUCAAUGGGGGAAACCCUGAAGCAGCAACGCCGCGUGGAGGAUGAAGGUUUUAGGAUUGUAAACUCCUUUUGUUAGAGAAGAUUAUGACGGUAUCUAACGAAUAAGCACCGGCUAACUCCGUGCCAGCAGCCGCGGUAAUACGGAGGGUGCAAGCGUUACUCGGAAUUACUGGGCGUAAAGCGCUCGUAGGCGGUAUGUCAAGUGAAGGGUGAAAUCCCCGCGCUCAACGUGGGAACGGCCUUUGAAACUGGCAAACUGGAGUGUGUGAGCGG
RNAcentral lists this ribosomal RNA (305 nucleotides) under uncultured bacterium. Its description in RNAcentral is "bacterial SSU rRNA". It matches the Rfam family "Bacterial small subunit ribosomal RNA", at positions 335 to 657 of the family's 1533-position model. The record is from RNAcentral.